Long non-coding RNA from Ahaetulla prasina, 3759 nucleotides. RefSeq lists it as uncharacterized. Lineage: Eukaryota; Metazoa; Chordata; Lepidosauria; Squamata; Colubridae. The record is from RefSeq and is a predicted model, not a curated record. The transcript is spliced from 3 exons.
CAGGCAAGGUCAUUUCCCAACCUUAUUCUUAGCUUCCUUGUAUGUAUCGCUAGUGUCAGAUUAUUCAUAUUACUUAACUUGGUGAUUAUUGGGAAGUGAAGGUCACAGGUGCGGGAGGGGUGCAAAGGGAUAAGUGGAUUGUUCUCUCCCCCUUUACCUUUUGUCUGUAAACAAGCAUCUCUUCUUUAAAAAUGAUACAGCAGGAUUGAGGCUUGGUUGGACUCCAUCCAGUUCUUUGAGCUUAUAUUUUAUAGGUGUAUAAAAUAUUAGCAGACACAUAUCACCUUUCUAAAAAAUGAAUGGAAUUAUUUGUUUAUCAAAGAAAAAGCUACUUGACCUAAAUCAGGGAUGAACAACAAAGAGGAACAACUUAUCUUUGUUUUUCCCAGACAACCAACUAAAGUCUUCUCACCCAGCUUCUGAUGCCAUUUCUGACUGGAGAAUCCCCUGCUAACAAAUUGCCACUAUACAAACUGUAUACAGUACUGCUUCUUACAGUUCAACACAACUCUGCAGAAAAAUAAACUCAAUCUUUGGGAGACCCAGAAUUUGAACUGAGUACAUCAGACAUAUUUACUCAACCCUGGAUAAAUAAAAGUAUAUUUUGAACUAUCUCAUUCUGACUUAUGAUCUGAGCUUGGAGCAACUAUAACAAUCCUUUAUCUGACUAUCUAAGUCCAUCAACCCCUCUUUCUUUUGAAUCACAGUUAUCUUUCAGGUGGUUCUUCAACCAGUUGUUCUCUGCUCCUGGGGCUCCUUGAGCCACCUACACAUAUCCUGUCUGCCAGCAGGUGCAUUAAGAGGGAGCGUCUCUGAUAGUAGGCCUCUUCUACAAUGCAGCACAAAAGUUUGAAGAGGAAAGUACCAUCAGCUCCAAAACAGCAAGUUCUGUCAACAUAGCAAUUAAGCUGUCAACGGUUUUAUGUGAAUCUCAGUUCAUGCUUUUGUUAACCCUUCCUUGUAUUUUUUCUAUGCUUCUCCUUGCUUGCUGUUUUAAUAAGAAUUGUGACUCAUUGCAUUUAAUCACUGACAGGAUUUUUUAAAAGGAAGAAACUUUAUUUUCUCAUCUUGUUACAUUCCUGUCUAUUCUACCCAUUGUAAAGACUUGUGUUGCUGUAUUUGGUUGUUUAGCAAAUGUAACGCAUCACACUGUCAUGUUUGUGUUUUAGAUCAUAAUAAUCUAGCUACCAAAGUAUUCAUUUCAGAAGUAUCAGUUUAAGAAAGGGAAAGGAGGGGGACAGAGAGAUUUUUGCAUUCAAAUGAGGAAGCUGACUUUGUUGUUAAACAGAAUUGUAUGUUUAAAGAUCAUUCUUUAAAAAGGCAAGCCAGCCGUUAAUAUUUUGUUGUUUAAAUUUUAUUUUCUAGAGAAGAAUGAGUCAUUUUUUUAAGAAAUAAAGAGGUGCCUCUGCAGCUGUAAUCAGCAUAAUCCCAAUUAUAUAACAGAUUGUUAACAGAAUAACAGAGUUGGAAGGGACCUUGGAGGUCUUCUAGUUGAACCCCCUACUCAAACAGGAAACCCUAUACCAUUUCAAAAAAAUCAUUGUCCAAUUCCUUCUUAAAUCUCCAGUUUUAGAGCAGUCAUAACUUCUGGAGGCAAAUCAUUCCACUGGUUAAUUGUUCUAACUGACAGGAAAUUCCUCCUGCGUUCUAUGUUGGAUCUCUCCUUGACUAGUUUCCAUCCACAGCUUCUUUUUCCUGCCUUGGAAAAUAGGUUGACUUCCUCUUCUUUGUGGCACCCCCUUAGAUAUUGAAACAUGGUUAUCAUGUCCCCUAGUCAGAGGUGGGUUUCAGCAGGUUCUGACCAGUUCUGGAAAAUCGGUAGUGGAAAUUUUGAGUAGUUCGGAGAACCGGUAAAUACCACCUUUGACUGGCCCCGCCCCCACUAUUCUCUGCCUCCCGAGUCCCAGCUGAUCGGAAGGAAAUGGGGAUUUUGCAGUAUCCUUCCCCUGGGGUGGGAAUGGAGAUUUUACAGUAUCCUUCCCCUGCCACGCCCACAAGCCAUGCCACGCCCACCAAGCAACACGCACAGAACCGGUAGUAAAAAAAUUUGAAACUCACCUCUGCCCCUAGUCCUUCUUUUCAUUAAACUAGACAUCCCCAAUUCCAGCAACCAUUCUCCAUAUGUUUUAGCCUCCAGUAUUACUGGAGGCUAUUGUUGAAUGCAAGGCAUCCAGGCAUUCUGAAAAUUGUUCUGAACACUGUAUACAUAAGAUUGGAUGACCAGGUCUACAUAUUCAGAAUGUAUAAAACUGCUUCUGCUGGAGAAAUCUGGGCUUUUAGCAUUUAAUAUAAGUGUCUGAAGGAAGAAGUCCUGUGAAGGUGGGAACCUCCAUCUUUUUCCAUACUGAAUGGAUAUCUUAACUUACCACAGCAGGUGCUCUGAGGUAAAGUUCUUGCGCUAAAUACACCACAUUUUCAGCAAUAAUUGUAUCAUAUGUCUGAUGCUGGGUCAUGUGUGUUUAAUUUAGCCAUAAUAGCAGUCAUAUUUUACAGGGGAAGUCCUCUGUUUGAAAGAUUGUGCAAUCUAUGUCUAGUUUGAAGAUAAAGAAUCCUAUAAAGGCAUAGGAAUAAACAUUAAGGUAUAUAUCAUUAUCUAGCAACUGAAUAGUCAUCCAGAUGAAAUCUUUUAUACCAAGAAGUGAUGUCUUUUAUUUCUAUUUAAAUGAAUUAUAUAAUAUGAUAAUCAUGGCCUGUAGAAUAUGUAUAGAAAUGUCCUUAGCGUAUAAUACGGUAUUUAUUUAUACAUUUACAUCUCUUUGUAACUUAUGCAAAUAUAACCCCGAUAUAACAUUAGAACUAUAUGGGAAAAUACUGUGUACUGUAUACAAACAAUUUUGUAAGAAGAGGAAAAAACAGAUACAAGAAAUAAAGUGAAAACUAAAGUAAAGCUGUACAUGGCAGAAGGAUUCCCAUACAAAAAAUAUCUUGGUGAAACCAGUUUGGGAAUAUAAUAUGGAGCAGGAAAAUAGGCAACAGGAAGUAUUGAAUGUCUGUGAAAUUUUGUCUCCUGUCACUUCUUAUUCCAAAAUAGGACUUUGGCCAGCCUUACCUCAUGUUUCCAGAUUUUGUUUUUUCACCUCUGGAGUCCUAUACAUACCUUUGGGAGACCCACUUUUGAGCACCAGGUUGAAAAUUUGACCUUGUCAAAUCUAAUACAUCAAGGAGGAGCUUUGAUGUUUAGUUUUAAACUUGUCUAGAUCAGUGGUGGGUUGCCCCCAGUUCGGACCGGUUCUAUAGAACCAGUAGAAAAACCGGUGGGAGGCUCCACCCACUGAUCCGAACGUCAUCAAAAGUGAUUUGCGCAUGCGGGCACGAUGCGAACCAGUAGUAAAGGUAAGUAGAACCCACCCCUGGUCUAGAUGUUGUUUAAAAUUAGCCUACAGGGCUAAUCACCAUUUUGAAUGUCUUAAGGGGUUUUUUUUCCUAUUCUUUCUCCGGAUAUCUGUGUAUUUUAUGAAAUAAGGGAAUUGUUAACCCUGAAGUGAACCUGGCUGAGGCCAUGUUGGAGGCUUCUGGGUUGCCACACAACAGAGGGAGGGGGGAAAUAGCUAAAUGGGGGUUUUGUAGCCAAAACAAUAAAAUUUUCCUGUGGGAACCAAGGACAUUCUCACAGGUGAGUGGCCAGAGGUGGAGCGAAGUAACCAAGCAACUGGCCAGCACCUUAUUGGACAGCGUGACCAGUGACGUGGGGAGAAAGAGGAAACUUUUACUUUUUAAUUAGGUGAAAGCCGCAGGAACUUUCAGAGUUCACUUUCACGA